Megalopta genalis is the source of this 637-nucleotide long non-coding RNA. RefSeq lists it as uncharacterized. NCBI's taxonomy places the organism in Eukaryota, Metazoa, Arthropoda, Insecta, Hymenoptera, Halictidae. The record is from RefSeq and is a predicted model, not a curated record.
UUCUCCGUUAACACUUUGACUGUGCCCGUGACACCCAUAAUUUUUACGCUAAUUUAUUGAAUCUUCCUGAUUGCAUUGGAAUCCGAAAAACUUGCUAGCACUGCGGUUGCAAUCAAAAUGUCAAGGUAGGAAAGUGUCACGAACGAAUUACGGCUAACCGCAACAUACGACAGAUCUAUGCAACGUCAGUGCAAAGUUUCAUCAAUAAUCGGCGUCUAUCGAUCACCGGGGUUUCCUCAGGAUAGUAAUCGCUGCUGAUUUAACGUGCAACGAUUUCCUCGCAGCUAAAUCAAGCCGAAUUCAAUUGCGAAAUUCUUUCGCAGCGCUUGUAAUCGAUCCCACCGCCUGGCGCCACAACGAAAACGUCGCAUUCCCGCGUUCCAGGUCAACUGCGCCAUGAGCUUCCAAAAGUUCUAUUCUUUUUGUUUACUCGGCCGAUGACUUUCCGUGUACCUAAAUCUCGCCGAACCCGUAUCGCAUGCGUUACGACGCACAGUGGCACGGAUCCCCGAAAACACAUAAUAAAUGAAUAGUAUUGUUAUGUUUACAUCUUUCAUUAUAAAUAAAACAGUUUUAGGGAUAUUUUGGGUUGUAGAAUCCGGUUAUGAUAUUAUCUUUUUAGUACGAUAAAAGAUUA